This 171-nucleotide non-coding RNA is filed under the name Clostridium acetobutylicum. RNAcentral's name for it is "T-box sequence". It matches the Rfam family "T-box leader". Rfam says of the family: Uncharged tRNA acts as the effector for transcription antitermination of genes in the T-box leader family. T-boxes are found upstream of many aminoacyl-tRNA synthetase genes and some amino acid biosynthetic genes usually in Gram-positive bacteria. Lineage: Bacteria; Bacillati; Bacillota; Clostridia; Eubacteriales; Clostridiaceae. The record is from RNAcentral.
AUUAGAGUGAUGAUGAGAAUUAGUAAAAUCAAUUUGCAUAUAAAGAGAAGAAGUGGUUGGUGAAAACUUCCUAUGUAAUGAUUUGAAGCUAUCUCUGAACUUUUUUAAGAGAGACACUUUAUUUUAGUGUAAUUAGGGUGGUACCGCGGAAUUAUAGCUUUCGUCCCUUUG